This 371-nucleotide ribosomal RNA is filed under the name uncultured bacterium. RNAcentral's name for it is "bacterial SSU rRNA". It matches the Rfam family "Bacterial small subunit ribosomal RNA", at positions 527 to 896 of the family's 1533-position model. The record is from RNAcentral.
GGAGGGUGCGAGCGUUGUCCGGAAUCAUUGGGCGUAAAGGGCGCGUAGGUGGCGGGACAAGCGUGCGGUGAAAGCCUGGGGCUCAACCCCGGGUCGGCCGUGCGAACUGUUUUGCUUGAGCACUGUAGAGGCAGGCGGAAUUCCGGGUGUAGCGGUGGAAUGCGUAGAGAUCCGGAAGAACACCGGUGGCGAAGGCGGCCUGCUGGGCAGUAGCUGACACUGAGGCGCGACAGCGUGGGGAGCAAACGGGAUUAGAUACCCCGGUAGUCCUAGCCGUAAACGAUGGACACUAGGUGUUGGUGGUAUCAACCCCGCCAGUGCCGAAGCUAACGCAUUAAGUGUCCCGCCUGGGGAGUACGGCCGCAAGGCUA